CAUUAUACCGUGAAACUGCGAAUGGCUCAUUAAAUCAGUUAUCGUUUAUUUGAUAGUACCUUACUACUUGGAUAACCGUGGUAAUUCUAGAGCUAAUACAUGCUGAAAACCCCAACUUCGGGAGGGGUGUAUUUAUUAGAUAAAAAACCAACGCCCUUCGGGGCUUCUUGGUGAUUCAUGAUAACUUCACGGAUCGCAUGGCCUUGCGCCGGCGACGGUUCAUUCAAAUUUCUGCCCUAUCAACUUUCGAUGGUAAGGUAUUGGCUUACCAUGGUUUCAACGGGUAACGGGGAAUUAGGGUUCGAUUCCGGAGAGGGAGCCUGAGAAACGGCUACCACAUCCAAGGAAGGCAGCAGGCGCGCAAAUUACCCAAUCCCGACACGGGGAGGUAGUGACAAUAAAUACUGAUACAGGGCUCUUUUGGGUCUUGUAAUUGGAAUGAGUACAAUUUAAACCUCUUAACGAGGAACAAUUGGAGGGCAAGUCUGGUGCCAGCAGCCGCGGUAAUUCCAGCUCCAAUAGCGUAUAUUAAAGUUGUUGCAGUUAAAAAGCUCGUAGUUGAAACUUGGGCCUGGCUGGCAGGUCCGCCUCACCGCGUGUACUUGUCCGGCCGGGCCUUUCCUUCUGGAGAACCUCAUGCCCUUCACUGGGUGUGUUGGGGAACCAGGACUUUUACUUUGAAAAAAUUAGAGUGUUCAAAGCAGGCCUUUGCUCGAAUACGUUAGCAUGGAAUAAUAGAAUAGGACGUGCGGUCCUAUUUUGUUGGUUUCUAGGACCGCCGUAAUGAUUAAUAGGGACAGUCGGGGGCAUCAGUAUUCAAUUGUCAGAGGUGAAAUUCUUGGAUUUAUUGAAGACUAACUACUGCGAAAGCAUUUGCCAAGGAUGUUUUCAUUAAUCAGUGAACGAAAGUUAGGGGAUCGAGACGAUCAGAUACCGUCGUAGUCUUACCGUAACUAUG
RNAcentral lists this ribosomal RNA (958 nucleotides) under Ascochyta italica (nom. illeg.). RNAcentral's name for it is "SSU rRNA". It matches the Rfam family "Eukaryotic small subunit ribosomal RNA", at positions 72 to 1041 of the family's 1831-position model. The record is from RNAcentral. Lineage: Eukaryota; Fungi; Ascomycota; Dothideomycetes; Pleosporales; Didymellaceae.